AGUCCCGUAGCUCAGCUGGUUAGAGCGCUACACUGAUAAUGUAGAGGUCCCCAGUUCAAAUCUGGGCGGGACUA
RNAcentral lists this transfer RNA (74 nucleotides) under Gaoshiqia sediminis. It matches the Rfam family "tRNA". Rfam says of the family: Transfer RNA (tRNA) molecules are approximately 80 nucleotides in length. Their secondary structure includes four short double-helical elements and three loops (D, anti-codon, and T loops). The record is from Rfam by way of RNAcentral. RNAcentral also lists the same sequence under 3 other names. Lineage: Bacteria; Pseudomonadati; Bacteroidota; Bacteroidia; Marinilabiliales; Prolixibacteraceae.